GGACCCGCACAAGCAGUGGAGUAUGUGGUUUAAUUCGACGCAACGCGAAGAACCUUACCAAGGCUUGACAUCCUCUGACCGCUGUAGAAAUACAGUUUCCCUUCGGGGCAGAGUGACAGGUGGUGCAUGGUUGUCGUCAGCUCGUGUCGUGAGAUGUUGGGUUAAGUCCCGCAACGAGCGCAACCCCUAUGGUUUGUUGCCAUCAUUUAGUUGGGCACUCAAACAAGACUGCCGUUGACAAAACGGAGGAAGGUGGGGACGACGUCAAAUCAUCAUGCCCCUUAUGUCUUGGGCUACGCACGUACUACAAUGGCUGUGACAGAGGGCAGCGACACCGCGAGGUGAAGCGAAUCCCAAAACGCAGUCCCAGUUCGGAUUGCAGGCUGAAACUCGCCUGCAUGAAGCAGGAAUUGCUAGUAAUGGCAGGUCAGCAUACUGCCGUGAAUACGUUCCCGGGUCUU
RNAcentral lists this ribosomal RNA (461 nucleotides) under uncultured bacterium. Its description in RNAcentral is "bacterial SSU rRNA". It matches the Rfam family "Bacterial small subunit ribosomal RNA", at positions 917 to 1382 of the family's 1533-position model. The record is from RNAcentral.